This is a small nucleolar RNA of Camellia sinensis, 98 nucleotides long. RefSeq annotates it as small nucleolar RNA R64/Z200 family. The record is from RefSeq and is a predicted model, not a curated record. NCBI's taxonomy places the organism in Eukaryota, Viridiplantae, Streptophyta, Magnoliopsida, Ericales, Theaceae.
CUUCUGCUAUGAUGAAUUAUGAAACAAUUCACAUGUCAGACUUCAGAGAUCUGUAUAAAGAUCUAUGAGAAGACUAAUUCAUGAAUUCUGAGCAGUUU